Molecule: ribosomal RNA, 500 nt
Filed under: uncultured bacterium
Lineage: Bacteria
Description: bacterial SSU rRNA
Rfam family: Bacterial small subunit ribosomal RNA
Source: RNAcentral
GAUGAACGCUGGCGGCGUGCUUAACACAUGCAAGUCGAACGAAGCACUUAAGACAGAAUUCUUCGGAAGGACGAUUUAAGUGACUGAGUGGCGGACGGGUGAGUAACGCGUGGGCAACCUGCCUCAUACAAGGGGAUAACAGUUAGAAAUAGCUGCUAAUACCGUAUAAGCUUACAGUACCGCAUGGUACGGUAAGAAAAACUCCGGUGGUAUGAGAUGGGCCCGCGUCUGAUUAGCUAGUUGGUAAGGUAACGGCUUACCAAGGCGACGAUCAGUAGCCGACCUGAGAGGGUGACCGGCCACAUUGGGACUGAGACACGGCCCAAACUCCUACGGGAGGCAGCAGUGGGGAAUAUUGCACAAUGGGGGAAACCCUGAUGCAGCGACGCCGCGUGAAGGAAGAAGUAUUUCGGUAUGUAAACUUCUAUCAGCAGGGAAGAAAAUGACGGUACCUGACUAAGAAGCCCCGGCUAAUUACGUGCCAGCCGCCGCGGUAACAC